UUGGGCAUGGAUUCUUGACAAAGGUAUUCAUAUUACUAACCCUAAUAUACCACAUCGUUUCCUUUUAAAAUAGCUAUUUCUAAUUUACUUUGGAUGCUAGAUCUUUUUUUGGGACAUUGCCUAGUGCAAUGGCCAGGGUUCUGGAUUGAAAACUGUCCAGCUAUGAAGUUCCAUUUCAAAGCUUGAAAGGCUUCACAUGCAAAAAUGCUAAAGGGUAGGACCACUUCUAGAGUAGAUAACGUUUUUCAUCUUCUACUUGUCCUUCUUUUUUGGAUCAGUGUAGGCUGGUAGGCCAUUGGCCUUUGGAUGCGCAAGAUGGUAUGCUUUCUUGUCCCACAGCAGCCGCUGACCCACAUUGCAGUAGAAUUUAGAUGCGUGCAAUGCUGCAACCUUUAAGUUGGAAUUCUCAUGAUCAAACCAUUUGCUUGUACUCUUCCAGACAGCUUUUUUUAAAUUUUUUAUUUUUUAUUUUUUUGUAGUCGAUAAGGAAAAUUAUGCUUUUAAUCGUUGAAUCAAGCUAAGCUAAAUGGCAAUAUAGCAUACAAUUAAUAUUGGUUUUAGC
Molecule: unclassified non-coding RNA, 562 nt
Filed under: Hevea brasiliensis (rubber tree)
Lineage: Eukaryota; Viridiplantae; Streptophyta; Magnoliopsida; Malpighiales; Euphorbiaceae
Source: RNAcentral